RNAcentral lists this ribosomal RNA (413 nucleotides) under uncultured bacterium. RNAcentral describes it as "bacterial SSU rRNA". It matches the Rfam family "Bacterial small subunit ribosomal RNA", at positions 32 to 424 of the family's 1533-position model. The record is from RNAcentral.
AAUCAACGCUGGCGGCGUGCCUCAGACAUGCAAGUCGAACGCGAAAGUUCCCUUCGGGGGAUGAGUAGAGUGGCGCACGGGUGGGUAACACGUAGGUAAUCUACCUUUGGAUGGGGAAUAACAACCGGAAACGGUUGCUAAUACCGCAUAAUGCAGCGGCACCUAAUGGUGACAGUCGUUAAAACGGGGGAUCGAAAGACCUCGCGUCUGGAAGAGGAGCCCUGCGGCGGAUUAGCUAGUUGGAAGGUAACGGCUUACCAAGGCGACGAUCCGUAGCCGGCCUGAGAGGGCGGUCGGCACACUGACACUGACAUACGGGUCAGACUCCUACGGGAGGCAGCAGUCGGGAAUUUUGGGCAAUGGGCGAAAGCCUGACCCAGCAACGCCGCGUGAAGGAUGAAAUCCCUCGGGAU